UCCGAGUUUCUCUCGGCAGUCCCGUCUGAGAGAUACAACAGACGGCGAGGGUUGCGCUCGUUGCGGGACUUAACCCAACAUCUCACGACACGAGCUGACGACGGCCGUGCAACACCUUUGCAGGCUCCCUUACGGGUCCCUUGCCUUUCGGCUCGGUACCACCUGCAUGUCAAGCCUGGGUAAGGUUCUUCGCGUACCAUCGAAUUGAACCGCACGCUCCGCUGCUUGUGCGGGCCCCCGUCAAUUCCUUUGAGUUUUAACCUUGCGGUCGUACUCCCCAGGCGGGUCACUUAAUGCGUUAGCUACGGCACUGCCGGGGUCGAUACCGACAACACCUAGUGACCAUCGUUUACGGCUAGGACUAA
Molecule: unclassified non-coding RNA, 365 nt
Filed under: uncultured Chloroflexota bacterium
Lineage: Bacteria; Bacillati; Chloroflexota
Description: uncultured Chloroflexi bacterium contains 16S-23S intergenic spacer region
Source: RNAcentral